AGCGGGGGAAGGAAAACACCCUUCACUCCUACCCCAGCUACCAACGCAGAGGGCAGAGACGCCCAGCCACAGGGACUGCGCCCCCACCUCGGCGACCAGACUUGCGCGCGCGACCUGGGCCAUUCUGUGCUGCUGCUCCUGUCCUUGGUGACAUUUUUGUUCAACAGCCAGCUUUUCUCUGCUGUUCAGCAAGUCUCGACUGCUGCGAAGGUGUGGGCCACAUCCUCCGCCACCAAAGCGCGAAACGCGUCAACUUCCCCCGCCACCCCGACAACAAUCAAGUUCUCAGAGGGGACACCUAGAAGGGGGCGCUGCCCCUCCUCGGCGGCAGAGCCCGACCCCGGCCGCUGCCUGAGCCCCCCACCCCGUUCCAGCCCACCAGACGGGCUCCCUCCUCCCAGGAACCUGCCCUCCCUGCCUCGGCAGGUCGCUCGCGGCCUCGACCCAAACAGAUCUGCCUCCCGAGGGCGCGUUCCCAUUCAGACGCGACGCGACCCCCGUCCGCGACGGCAGCCCCAACGCUGCCGGGGGUGUUUUGAGGCUGCAGCCCCCUGCCCUGGGGCGGCGCCCCGGACCUUCCAACCCUCAGCGCGCAGGGGGACUGCCCGCGGGCCCCCUCCCCGCCCCCGGCCCGGCGCCCACCUGCCGUUGGGGCGCGAGGACCCUCCCGCUCCCGCGCCCGCACCCGCGGGGGGCUUCUCGGCGCCGCCAUGCCGGCCGCGCGCUGCGGACGGGCGCGGAGCCUCCUCCGUCGGUCAGUCAGACGCCGCGGCCGCCCGCCGGCGCCGGGGAUCGCUUCCCCGCGGCUGGCUGGCUCGAGAGGCGCGGGGUGGGGACCGCGGUCGGCGCUCCCGCCCGGGAGAGCCCGGGGGCCGACCGACGCGCGGGGCCGCCAAUGGGAGGCCGCGGCGGAGGUGGGCGGGCUCUCGGGCGGAGAUGGGCGGGGCCUCCGCGCACAGACGGGGUCUACCGUCGGCAGCUUCGGGCUCCCGGCGCUGUGCGCGCAGCGUGGAAGCCGCUCCUGGGUUCCCGUCGCUGCUCCUCCGGAGACGUCCUGGGGUUUCCACCUGGACGGAUUCCGCGACCUCUCUGGCACUUUACAUCGAAAGCCCAUUGAGUGGGAAUCAAAGAAACGUGGUGCGUGGGAUGAUGGGGGAGAGGGACAGGUGCCUUUUCCCUCUCCACGGCGAGGGUGCAGAAGGAUUGCCAUCCCUGGCCGAGACAAGAACCCGCUGA
This 1236-nucleotide long non-coding RNA is filed under the name Felis catus (domestic cat). RNAcentral describes it as "lncRNA (ENSFCAG00000048563.1)". Lineage: Eukaryota; Metazoa; Chordata; Mammalia; Carnivora; Felidae. The record is from RNAcentral.